Molecule: long non-coding RNA, 1160 nt
Organism: Oncorhynchus tshawytscha (Chinook salmon)
Lineage: Eukaryota; Metazoa; Chordata; Actinopteri; Salmoniformes; Salmonidae
Source: Ensembl
GUGAAUAUAUAAAGUGAAAUAAACAAUAAAACAACAGUAAACAUUACACAUACAGAAGUUUCAAAACAAUAAAGACAUUACAAAUGUCAUAUAUAUAUAUACAGUGUUUUAACAAUGUACAAAUGGUUAAAGGACACAAGGGAAAAUAAAUAAAUAAGCAUAAAUAUGGGUUGUAUUUACAAUGGUGUUUGUUCUUCACUGGUUGCCCUUUUCUUGUGGCAACAGGUCACAAAUCUUGCUGCUUUGAUGGCACACUGUGGAAUUUCACCCAGUAGAUAUGGGAGUUUAUCAAAACUGGAAUUGUUUUCAAAUUCUUUGUAGAUCUGUGUAAUCUGAGGGAAAUGUGUGUCUCUAAUAUGGUCAUAUAUUGGGCAGGAGGUUAGGAAGUGCAGCUCAGUUUCCACCUCAUUUUGUGGGCAGUGAGCACAUAGCCUAUUUUCUCUUGAGAGCCAUGUCUGCCUAUGGCGGCCUUUCUCAAUAGCAAGGCGAUGCUCACUGAGUCUGAACAUAGUCAAAGAUUUCCUUAAGUUUGGGUCAGUCACAGUGGUCAGGUAUUCUGCCACUGUGUACUCUCUGUGUAGGGCCGAAUAGCAUUCUAGUUUGCUCUGUUUUUUUGUUAAUUCUUUCCAAUGUGUCAAGUAAUUGUCUUUUUGUUUUCUCCUGAUUUUCUUGGGUCUAAUUGUGUUGCUGUCCUGGGGCUCUGUGGGGUGUGUUUGUGUUGCUGUCCUGGGGCUCUGUGGGGUGUGUUUGUGUUGCUGUCCUGGGGCUCUGUGGGGUGUGUUUGUGUUGCUGUCCUGGGGCUCUGUGGGGUGUGUUUGUGCUGCUGUCCUGGGGCUCUGUGGGGUGUGUUUGUGUUGCUGUCCUGGGGUUCUGUGGGGUGUGUUUGUGCUGCUGUCCUGGGGCUCUGUGGGGUGUGUUUGUGUUGCUGUCCUGGGGCUCUGUGGGGUGUGUUUGUGCUGCUGUCCUGGGGCUCUGUGGGGUGUGUUUGUGCUGCUGUCCUGGGGCUCUGUGGGGUGUGUUUGUGCUGCUGUCCUGGGGCUCUGUGGGGUGUGUUUGUGCUGCUGUCCUGGGGCUCUGUGGGGUGUGUUUGUGUUGCUGUCCUGGGGCUCUGUGGGGUGUGUUUGUGUUGCUGUCCUGGGGCUCUGUGGGGUGUGUUUGUG